RNAcentral lists this ribosomal RNA (648 nucleotides) under Tolypothrix sp. Ep_Yyyy800. Its description in RNAcentral is "bacterial SSU rRNA". It matches the Rfam family "Bacterial small subunit ribosomal RNA", at positions 66 to 756 of the family's 1533-position model. Lineage: Bacteria; Bacillati; Cyanobacteriota; Cyanophyceae; Nostocales; Tolypothrichaceae. The record is from RNAcentral.
ACGGAGUACUUCGGUACUUAGUGGCGGACGGGUGAGUAACGCGUGAGAAUCUGCCUUCAGGUUCGGGACAACCACUGGAAACGGUGGCUAAUACCGAAUGUGCCUUAGGGUGAAAAAUUUAUUGCCUGAAGAUGAGCUCGCGUCUGAUUAGCUAGUAGGUGUGGUAAUAGCGCACCUAGGCGACGAUCAGUAGCUGGUCUGAGAGGAUGAUCAGCCACACUGGGACUGAGACACGGCCCAGACUCCUACGGGAGGCAGCAGUGGGGAAUUUUCCGCAAUGGGCGAAAGCCUGACGGAGCAAUACCGCGUGAGGGAGGAAGGCUCUUGGGUUGUAAACCUCUUUUCUCAAGGAAGAAAAAAAUGACGGUACUUGAGGAAUAAGCAUCGGCUAACUCCGUGCCAGCAGCCGCGGUAAUACGGAGGAUGCAAGCGUUAUCCGGAAUGAUUGGGCGUAAAGCGUCCGCAGGUGGCUGUGUAAGUCUGCUGUUAAAUAGUGAGGCUCAACCUCAUAAAGGCAGUGGAAACUACAUGGCUAGAGUGCGUUCGGGGCAGAGGGAAUUCCUGGUGUAGCGGUGAAAUGCGUAGAGAUCAGGAAGAACACCGGUGGCGAAAGCGCUCUGCUAGGCCGCAACUGACACUGAGGGACGA